Molecule: ribosomal RNA, 253 nt
Filed under: uncultured bacterium
Lineage: Bacteria
Description: partial 16S ribosomal RNA
Rfam family: Bacterial small subunit ribosomal RNA
Source: RNAcentral
UACGUAGGGGGCAAGCGUUAUCCGGAUUUACUGGGUGUAAAGGGAGCGUAGACGGCUGCGCAAGUCAGAAGUGAAAGCCCGGGGCUCAACCGCGGGACUGCUUUUGAAACUGUGUAGCUAGAGUGCAGGAGAGGUAAGUGGAAUUCCUAGUGUAGCGGUGAAAUGCGUAGAUAUUAGGAGGAACACCGGUGGCGAAGGCGGCUUACUGGACUGCAACUGACGUUGAGGCUCGAAAGCGUGGGGAGCAAACAGG